CACACACACAUAUACACACACAUAUAUACACACAUCUGCGCACGCGCUGCUCAUUAGCUAAAUAACAUCCACAGAGCGAGAACGACCGACGUCCGGCCUCUCUACCUGCAAACACAACAACCAUGCCCGAACCAGUAAACACAAGUCACAACCAUUUCGAUUGCACGCGCGCGCUCACACGCGCGCACACGCGCACAUACUUCAACCCCUCCUGCUAAUGCAUAAAUAUGUCUGUGCAAAGCUCCGCCCGUUUAACCAUGUACGCUGUGUCUAACACGUGUUUAUCAAGGCAGCAAAGCAUUCGCGGUGUUUUCCUCGCACCAUCAUCUGUAGAGCAGCCUUUAACGACGGCCUGAAUCGGUGGAAAUCAGACCAAAUCGGGUUGCCAGCAACGACGGACAAUGCGCCGAAGUCGUUUGAAACGAAACCUCGAUUUUAGCAGUCAAACACAGACGUCGGCUUUUUCGCUCUUCUCCAACAAGUCGAUAUUGCUUGACCAGACGGACAGGGCCGCAUACAUUUACAAGAACCCUUACAACACCAUAGCCAACAACAACAACAACAGCAACAGCUACUACUACUACUACUACUACUACUACUACUACUACUACUACUACUGCUGCUGCUGCAAAAUCCUCCGGUUGUCUGUUGACAUAUUAUUAACACUUGCUAAUUUCAUCUUUCUAACAGCGUUGAAAUUAUAUUGCAACACAAAAAGAAACUUUUUGCAGCCGCAAAUGUGUAUAUAUUUUUCAGUUUGAUGGCGUUAUUUUCUUUUCUGCUAUUUUUCUUUUUUCAAAAAGACAGCAAACAUGUAAAAUAGAAAGAAGACAAGAGAAAGUGAUAGAGAGAGAGAGAGAGAGAUACAUAGAGAAAAAAAGAAAGAAAGAAAGAGAGAGAGCGAGAGAGAGAGAGAGAGAAAGGGUAAACAAUAACAGCUGCUACAAAGCAGAAAGCAAACAGCAAAA
This 968-nucleotide long non-coding RNA is filed under the name Octopus sinensis (East Asian common octopus). RNAcentral describes it as "uncharacterized LOC118761185, transcript variant X1". The record is from RNAcentral. Lineage: Eukaryota; Metazoa; Mollusca; Cephalopoda; Octopoda; Octopodidae.